UGAGACUCGGCGGCGUCACCCCAGCUCCCCCCGGUCCUACCCCAUGGAGGCCCGGCCAAACCACCACGGCGGCGGGAUGAAGGGAACCGAGGCAGAGCCCUGGGCCUGAAGGAAGGGGGGGGGGGGGGGGUGGCUUCCCUGCGCUGGGCGCGGGACUCUCCCGGCCGGGGAGCGCUCCCAGCCCCCACCAGCCCCGAGCCCAACGGGGCAGCCUCGCGAGGCCUCCGCGGGCCCCGAGGGAAGCGGGGGCACCGGGCAGCCCUCCUUAACGCCCCUCUUCUCACCUCCCCCCCUCCCGGCAGGGGCACACGGAGCGCCGCGGCGCCCAGGCCUCCUUCUCCCGCCCUUCCCGGCUCCUACCGACCUGGAGACGGCCAUAGCCGCCCGGAGCGGUGCCCGGCGAGAGGCGAGCGGCGGGACGGCGAGCGGGGGGCCGGCGCCGCGGUGGCAGGGGGGAAGGCGCGGGGCCUAGCUGCAGGCCUCUCGUGCGCCGCGCCCGGCCUCGGCCCCGCCGGGGAUCCGCGGGCAGCGGCUGAGCGCGGCUGUGGUCGAUAGCGGUCGGGGGCUCGCUCCGCCCGGAAAGGCGGCGGCAGCGCGGGCGAGAGCGGCGCGCAGCCCUCGGAGCGCGGGUUAAAGCCUCAAUUCCCCCAUCGCCGGGGCGAAGCCCAAUGCCUGGUUUUAUACGAGCAGCCAUCUUGUAUUUAUUCCCUUCCUCCAUGAUAGCCGCUUCCUGAUUGGCAAGAGCACCCGGCCGCAGCCAAUGGAGAGAGCGCUUCCAAGAGAGGGGAGGGCGGGCGCACGCAGCACCCGGGCUGAGCAGGGCCGGCCAUGGAGCCCGCCGAGCCGGCUGGGAGCGGGGCGCCGGCCUUCGGCGGGCUGUGCCAUCCGCGCGCGGGAGGAGGGAGGAGCGCGGGGGAGAGCGCUCCGGUCGCCAUCCCCGAGGAGCGAAGAGAGGCACAAGAAAGGUGCUAGACGCGCGUUUCCACGCUAGCCCGCCGAGUGCUGGCGCGUCUCUGCCAAAGCGACGGGAGAGGGCGGCGCGAGUCCGGGGAGCUCACGCUGCGGCCCCCGCUCGCUGAGGUGCGCCGUCCCUCGGCCUUCACCCUGGCGAUGCGGCGCUGUUGAAGAGCCCCGCCGAGACUGCAACUCCCGGCGUGCAGCGCGCCCAGCGCCGCGCUUGCGCACCAAGGCCUGGUGGGGUGGGGCCGGCCGCUGCCGCUGCCUCGCGGCCCCAUCGGCGUUCCGGAGCGGUCGUUCAGUCAGGGCUGGAAGCGGAGGUGAUAGCGGGGAGCCGUGACCAGACCCGCCCGGCGGCCGUUCGUUUCGGUCACAGCGGUUCUAAUCGCCACCGACCCCGGCGCGGCCCAGACAGGCGGCCCUCCCGCGCUCUGCCGUGCCCCGAGGCGCUGAGGGCCCCGCGCCGGGACGGCCGCCGAACUCAGCGGGCUGUGCCGUCACCUCAGGAUCCGGGGCGAGAGAAAUCGGGAAAUCAGACAGAGGAAGAGUUUUGGAGUUAAUCUGCAUUAAUGAGCCCAGAUCGAGACAUAAAUAGAGCUGGCGCACGUAACCUUUCAUGUGAUGAGUUGAAAACACAAUCAUAGAUUUUUUUUUUCCUAUGAGUUAUUCAUAAACUUGCAUAAAUGCAUUAAAUCUGCAUAGUACCAUAGGGUGAAGUCUUUAUCUGCGGCCCCGUGAGGCAUGCACAGCCCGACGAGCCCUCAGAGAGACAUUUCUGCUCGUCCCCAGCGUUCCUGAGGAGGGAUUUGCUUUUUCUUUGUGGUAAACUCCUAGUAUGGAAUCAUUCCUCAGUAACAUGCAGUUAGACACAAUUCCAUCUGCAUCCUCACCAUCUUUGUACUUUGUAUAGUUCUAUAAGAGAGACACAACUACAUUGUACCUCUAGCACAUGGCUCCUGCCUGUACCUGAGUCCCUCAGGAAGGUUCCCCCACAGAGUGCUGGGGAACAAAACGGCUCUCCCUGCCUGUUCCCUCUCCCGUCCUUUGGUGGGAGAUCGGUGGUGAUGAGGAAUGGAUGCUGAAAGCAGUGACUCCAGAAGUACCAACCACCAACAACGUGAGUCAACUGGAGGCCCCACAUCACAGAAUGUAGCCAGAGCAAACCACGGACUUCAUUUUCUGUGGCGGAGACAGUUUUUGUCACAGUGCUGUGCUCAGUGACCCAGAUAAAGUCUGUUCCCUCUCGUGGAGCUGAGGUCCUUCUGUUGCAUUUGGUGGGGGAAUUAUAUCUUCAUCUGAAUCCCAUACAUCCAUUCCAAGGUUACUAUGAAGAAU
This 2292-nucleotide long non-coding RNA is filed under the name Gallus gallus (chicken). The record is from RNAcentral. Lineage: Eukaryota; Metazoa; Chordata; Aves; Galliformes; Phasianidae.